GAUUGUUAACAGCCUGAUUGUUCACAGGAUGCAGGAGAGAUGUGACCCGAGAUCGCAAUUUCCACUAUCUCUCUCUCUCUCUCUCUCUCUCUCUCUCUCUCUCUCUCUCUCUCUCUCUCUCUCUCUCUCUCUCUCUCUCUCUCUCUCUCUCUCUCUCUCUCUCUCUCUCUCUCUCUCUCUCUCUCUCUCUCUCUCUCUCUCUCUCUCUCUCUCUCUCUCUCUCUCUCUCUCUCUCUCUCUCUCUCUCUCUCUCUCUCUCUCUCUCUCUCUCUCUCUCUCUCUCUCUCUGCAGCGAUCCGCCAGGCCGUAUCCAAAUCUCUUGUGACAUGCUACCAGAAAUGUGAGCCGCCCUCACAUUUUCUCAUUUUUGUCAUUUUAUAUCUGUCUGUGCUUUUCAUGUUCACUUAUGCCUGUGAGAGCUUCAAAGAGAAAAUUGGUGUUACUCAACCUUCAAAAUACUUAAAUAUUUUCAUGCUCAAGGUUUACUUGAGAGGCAUGGAAUGUUGUCUGAUAUCUCCCUGCUUUGACUGUCAGGAGAUGGGCCUGCCUGGUUUGACAGUCAGGAGAUGGGCUUCACUGGUUUGACAGUCAGGAGAUGGGCCUCCCUGCUUUGACUGUCAGGAGAUGGGCCUCCCUGGUUUGACAGUCAGGAGAUGGGCUUCACUGGUUUGACAGUCAGGAGAUGGGCCUUCCUGGUUUGACAGUCAGGAGAUGGGCUUCACUGGUUUGACAGUCAGGAGAUGGGCCUCCCUGGUUUGACAGUCAGGAGAUGGGCCUCCCUGGUUUGACAGUCAGGAGAUGGGCUUCACUGGUUUGACAGUCAGGAGAUGGGCCUUCCUGGUUUGACAGUCAGGAGAUGGGCUUCACUGGUUUGACAGUCAGGAGAUGGGCCUCCCUGGUUUGACAGUCAGGAGAUGGGCCUCCCUGGUUUGACAGUCAGGAGAUGUGGAUGAAGCCUCUAAGAAGUCGAUCUGACAUCCUGAUCCAGUACCACAGGACCCUGUUGGUGGCCAACUCCCACCGCUGCAAGUCCAACAAGUUUGGUGGACCUGGAGCCUGCACUUGCUACCAGAAGUCUUACUGUUAAAAAUGCAAUCUUCAUUUUUAUAUACAAUAAAAAUAAAUAUGGGCCAAAUCAGCUUCAGACUCA
Anguilla rostrata (American eel) is the source of this 1150-nucleotide long non-coding RNA. RefSeq lists it as uncharacterized. Lineage: Eukaryota; Metazoa; Chordata; Actinopteri; Anguilliformes; Anguillidae. The record is from RefSeq and is a predicted model, not a curated record. The transcript has 2 exons.